Homo sapiens (human) is the source of this 1340-nucleotide RNA transcript. It is a transcript of the gene named NFYC pseudogene 2, with no coding region annotated. The transcript has a single exon. The record is from RefSeq and is marked validated. NCBI's taxonomy places the organism in Eukaryota, Metazoa, Chordata, Mammalia, Primates, Hominidae.
GCAGUGCCCGACUCCGCAGGAGCGCCAGGGCGGCUCCUGCUCUUCCUGGACUCCCUGAAGAGGCGUUUGUCGAAAUGUCCACAGAAGGAGGAUUUGGUGGUACUAGCCGCAGUGAUGCCCAGCAAAGCCUAAAGUCCUUCUGGCUUCGGGUCAUGGAAGAAAUCUGGAAUUUAGCAGUGAAAGAUUUCUGAAUGCAGGAACUCCCACUGGCUCGUAUUAAGAAGAUUAUGAAACUGGAUGAAGAUGUGAAGAUGAUCAGUGCAGAGGCCCCUGUGCUCUUUGCCAGGGCAGCCCAGAUUUUUUAUCACAGAGUUGACUCUUCGAGCCUGGAUUCACACAGAGGAUAACAACUGCCGGACUUAUGUCGCCAUGGCAAUUACGAAAUUUGAUCAAUUGGAUUUUCUCAUCGAUAUUGUUCUAAGAGAUGAACUGAAACCUCCAAAGUGUCAGGAGGAGGUGCUGCAGUCUGUAACUCCUGCUGAGCCAGUCCAAUACUAUUUCACGCUGGCUCAGCAGCCCACCGCCCGUCCAAGUCCAGGGACAGCAGCAAGGCCAGACCACCGCCAGCUCCAUGACCACCAUGCAGCCUGGGCAGAUCAUCAUCGCACAGCUUCAGCAGGGCCAGACCACGCCCGUGACGACGCAGGUUGGAGAAGGUCAGCAGGUGCAGAUUGUCCAGGCCCAGCCACAGGGUCAAGCCCAGUAGGCCCAGAGUGGUACUGGAUGGACCGUGCAGGUGAUGUAGCAGAUCCUCACUAACACAGGAGAGAUCCAGCAGAUCCCGGUGCAGCUGAAGGCUGGCCAGCUGCAGUGUAUCCGCUUAGCCCAGUCUGUAUCAGGCACCCACGUUCUGCAGGGACAGAUCCAGACACUUGCCACCAGCGCUCAACCGAUUACACAGACAGAGGUCCAGCAAAGACAGCAGUAGUUCAGCCAGUUCACAGAUGGACAGCAGCUCUACCAGAUCCAGCAAGUAUCCAUACCUGCGGGCCAGGACCUGCCCAGCCCAUGUUUUUCCAGUCAGUCAACCAGCCCUCUGAUGGGCAGGCCCCCCGGGUGACUGGCGGCUGAGGGCCGGAGCUGGCAAGGCCGAGGACACUCAACACAAUUUUUGCCGUACAGCCCCAGGUCAUGAACACAGCCUUCUUCCCCAGAGGACCCGGCCGACCUCAGCUCCUCCUGCAGGCUAGGACAAUGGCGCACUAGGCCUCAUGCCUGGGGGCCGAGAUUCUCCAACAGAAAGAUGCAAUAUUUUUUGUUUCCUUUUUUCUCCAAGGAAUCAAUAUUUCAAUAUGUUGAGCUGUGUGUCCAAUGCUAUGAAAUUAAAAUAUUAAAUCACA